AAGGGCUCGGUGGGCAUUAGGGCUGGGCAGACGCCGGGGAAGCGCUGGGCUACAGGCGGUUGGUGGGUGGAAUCUUGCUUCCUGCUCGACGGAAGGGCGGAGCUUUGGGUCUCCAUGGAGACGGCUUCCAGCAACCUGGAAAGCGUAGAGCUGAGCCUCCAGCGCGAUGGAUGCGGAUAGCCUCCUGCUGUCGCUGGAGCUGGCGUCCGGCAGUGGGCAGGGCCUCAGCCCGGACCGUCGGGCCUCACUACUGACUUCUCUUACGCUGGUUAAACGCGAUUACCGCUACGAUCGGGUGCUCUUCUGGGGUCGCAUCUUCGGCCUCGUCGCCGAUUACUACAUCGCACAGGGCCUGAGUGAGGACCAGCUUGCACCGCGCAAGACACUGUACAGCCUGAACUGCGUGGAAUGGAGCCUCUUGCCCCCUGCCACAGAGGAGAUGGCGGCGCAGACAGCUGUGGUGAAGGGCCGCUUCCUGGGGGACCCCUCCCACGAGUAUGAACACACGGAGCUGCAGACGGUGAACGACGGCGAUAAGGUCUUUGAAGAAGAAGUAGUGGUCCAGAUCAAGGAAGAGACACGCUUGGUGUCCAUCAUCGACCAGAUUGACAAGGAGGUGGCUGUCGUCCCUCGCGGUGUCCUGUUUAAGACCCCUUUUGGGCCCGUCCAUGUCAAUCGGACUUUUGAAGGACUGUCCUUGUCCGAAGCCAAGAAGCUCAGUUCCUACUUCCACUUCAGAGAGCCUGUGGAGCUGAAGAACAAGACCUUGCUUGAGAAGGCUGACUUAGACCCGUCCCUGGACUUCCUGGACUCCUUGGAGCAUGACAUCCCCAAAGGGCCUGGAGCAGAGCUGCGGCAGGGCUGGGGAGGGGCCUCGGCGCACAGGGGAAUAGAAGCUCCAGAUCUGCAUCCAGAGGCGAUUUUCCCAGGCUCCUUCCUCCCACACAGCGGCUCCCUCCCUCAGUCCUGGAGAUGGAUCCGGCCCUUCUCGCCAAGUCCUCAUGGCUGCACGACUCAGCCCGCAGCUGGGCUGCUCCUGUCUGGGGAGCAAAAACCGGGGCAAGACCCAGGAUAGACAAAGGCUCAUUAGCUGCAGCCCGGUUCCCCUCCUGCCAAACUUCUAUGGGAGCCCCUGGUCGGGUCUAAGCCGUCUCAGAGCAGAGGCUUCUGGGACUGGGGAAGAGAGCAAAAUGGCAAGUCGGGGGAAACUACUAGGGCUGAAGGUCACUGGUGACUUCCCCUAGUAGAGGGUGAGAGGGGGCGGGAGAAAGUCUCCCCAAGCCUGGCCCCAACUCCCCUCUGCCUGUGGCUUCAGCUUCCUCCCCCACUCAACCUUUAACUAGACUUGCUGACAGGAACAAAACACACUGGUUUGAGUUUCACCGCUUUUCAUUUCCUUUGCCCUCCCUCUGGAAGCGGUUUUAAUGAACAGGGAAAUGGCUAAAAGGCAAUCAGGAGGAGUCAAGUGCCGGGAUAAUUAAAUUGUCUCCCUUUCCCCAGUGGAGCCUUGCACCGGGGCCUGGGGCGGGUGCAGACCCAGCAGAGCGCUGGCUCCGCAGCCCAGGCCUGCCUCUUCCCCAGGGUCCUGGAGCGUCCAGAUGGAGAGGGGCAAUGCCCUGGUGGUGCUGCGCAGCCUGCUGUGGCCAGGCCUCACCUUCUACCAUGCUCCCCGCACCAAGAACUGUGGCUACGUCUACAUGGGCACCGGAGUGGGGAGCCCACAGCCAUG
This is an RNA transcript of Rhinolophus ferrumequinum (greater horseshoe bat), 1729 nucleotides long. It is a transcript of the gene named radial spoke head component 9, with no coding region annotated. The record is from RefSeq and is a predicted model, not a curated record. The transcript has 6 exons. Lineage: Eukaryota; Metazoa; Chordata; Mammalia; Chiroptera; Rhinolophidae.